Molecule: ribosomal RNA, 501 nt
Filed under: uncultured bacterium
Lineage: Bacteria
Description: partial 16S ribosomal RNA
Rfam family: Bacterial small subunit ribosomal RNA
Source: RNAcentral
AUUGAACGCUGGCGGCAUGCCUUACACAUGCAAGUCGAACGGCAGCACGGGUGCUUGCACCUGGUGGCGAGUGGCGAACGGGUGAGUAAUACAUCGGAACGUACCUUAUCGUGGGGGAUAACGCAGCGAAAGCUGUGCUAAUACCGCAUACGCCGUGAGGGGGAAAGCGGGGGAUCGAAAGACCUCGCGCGAAUAGAGCGGCCGAUGCCUGAUUAGCUUGUUGGGGGGGUAAAAACCCACCAAGGCGAAGAUCAGUAGCGGGCCUGAGAGGACGAUCAGCCACAUGGGGACUGGGACACGGCCCAGACUCCUACGGGAGGCAGCAGUGGGGAAUUUUGGACAAUGGGGGCAACCCUGAUCCAGCAAUGCCGCGUGAGUGAAGAAGGCCUUCGGGUUGUAAAGCUCUUUUGUCAGGGAAGAAACACCGGCUCUAACACAGUCCGGGAAUGACGGUACCUGAAGAAUAAGCACCGGCUAACUACGUGCCAGCAGCCGCCGUAA